This 253-nucleotide ribosomal RNA is filed under the name uncultured bacterium. RNAcentral describes it as "partial 16S ribosomal RNA". It matches the Rfam family "Bacterial small subunit ribosomal RNA", at positions 524 to 776 of the family's 1533-position model. The record is from RNAcentral.
UACGAAGGGGGCUAGCGUUGCUCGGAAUCACUGGGCGUAAAGGGUGCGUAGGCGGGUCUUUAAGUCAGGGGUGAAAUCCUGGAGCUCAACUCCAGAACUGCCUUUGAUACUGAGGAUCUUGAGUUCGGGAGAGGUGAGUGGAACUGCGGGUGUAGAGGUGAAAUUCGUAGAUAUUCGCAAGAACACCAGUGGCGAAGGCGGCUCACUGGCCCGAUACUGACGCUGAGGCACGAAAGCGUGGGGAGCAAACGGG